RNAcentral lists this long non-coding RNA (940 nucleotides) under Homo sapiens (human). RNAcentral's name for it is "HSALNT0290636". The record is from RNAcentral. Lineage: Eukaryota; Metazoa; Chordata; Mammalia; Primates; Hominidae.
CUCCAUUAAAUCAGGAACCUUGUUGCUUCUGGUAUCUGGGGUGUCCCACCGCUACCCCCAUGUGAGUGCCUGGCACAUAUAGAUACUUGAUACCUGCUUGCUGAAUAAAUGAAUAAGUGCAACUUGACUGGAUGAUGAGAGGCACAGCUGAGUCCGGAGCAGACUGAGCCACCUAAGAGGGGAGGAACCGCUGCAGAGAAACCGUGUUAAGCCUUUUUGAAGUUCCAGAGGGAGAACAAGAGAGCGGAGGCUCCUGGUGGCUGGUGACAGCUGCUCUUGGCUGGGAGAGCAGAGAACAGGGGACAGGAGAGAAGCCCCGAGAGUACUGAAGCUGAGGCUGGGGCGGUCUUCACUUCCCUCUUUCCUCGGCCCUUUUCCUGUUCUCUUGUCUUGUCUCUCUUUCUCUACUUUCCUUCUCCCUAGCCCAGUCUCUCACCGCUCUUCAGCCUCUGGGCCUUUCCUUCUUCCUCUCUUGCCCUCAUUCUUCCUUCUCUGUCCCUCUUGUCUUCUCUUUUACCUCUUCUCUUCUUCCCUCCUUCCUACAGCUAUGCCCUCUUCCCUCCUUUCUCUUGUCCCCAACCAGGGCAUUAGAAAUGCAUUCCAGUUACACUGAUCUGAUCACUGCAUAUUGUAUGCAUGCAUCAAAAUAUCACAUGUACCCCAGAAAUAUGUAAAUUACUGCAUAUCAAUAAAAAGAAAUGUAGCUUCUUUGCCUCACAUACAGAAAAGCCAAUCUGAAGUAUAAAUAAAUAAACAAACAAAUAAAUAAAACGAACCACACUGGCCCCCCCGCCGCCUCCCAGCCAUCAUCUGGGCCUGCCACUAUUUGCUCAGGGUAUCUAAACAUCAGCCAAAAUCAAAGAAAAAGUUUUAAAAUCUAUUGUUAAAAAUUUCCAAGGCUAAGUUGACAUGCAUGUACAAUAGCAUUUCCCAAACUGUG